AAGACAUUACCAUUCAGAGGACUGCAAGGAGUUCUGUACUCUGUCGUUCUUGACUGGAGGCUGAUUAAAGAACCAWGUCAAGCUGCCAAAGGUUUCUGGGAAACACUACUAAGAGAGCAUGCAUCUGGGAAAAUGAAAAAGGAUGUGAGACUCUGAAGAGGACAGGGAGCUUCUGUUAUUUUACAAACAGGAGUGGACACAUCUAAGGUUAAUAAUGAGAUGCUGCUGUAAGUGAUGGAGUUAUGCUGUGAUAUUUCCUGACAGAAUUACCAGGCUCCAGUGUGUGUUCAGUCUAGAUCCUGGUAAUCAUGUUGUUAUUUUACACUUUAUUUACCAUCAUUUUUGUCUAGGCCUGUUUCAUUAGUUGUUUUUUUUUAAAUAUGCAGGCAAUUUGUGAUUUGAGGUGACUGUGGCUGAGUGGUUAGGGGAGUCCUCCAAUGAGAGAGUUGGUGGUUAGAUUCCACGACUGUUCAGUCAUGUGUCCACGUGUCCAUGGGCAACUCACUGAACCCCCACUGUCUCUGAUGUGUCCCAUCAGUGUAUGAGUGUGAUUUAAAGCACUGAUUAGUCUCUAUGGAUCGAUUUAUCUGGAUUAGCUUUGUAGAGCUAUAGCAGAGUGCUGUGUGUAAAUACCAAAGAAGUAAAGAUUUAAAUCAACCAACUACACUGUUAAAUACAUUUGAAAGUUACACACAUUAACUAAAUUGUUGGUACCUCUCUGUUAACGAUCAAAAAACCUACAAUGGUCACUGAAAUAAUUUGAAAUUAACAAGCGUACAUAAAAACAUAUUAAAAAUCGAUCAAUAAAAAUAGUAGAUGGACUGUACUUAUCUUAAAACUUUUUCCUAGUUACCAGAUACUUAAUUAUUUUUAUGUCUUUACAGACAUACCUGACAUGUUUCAACGAGUUCUUCCAUGAUGAAGACGGAAGUACUCGUCGGAACAUGUCUGGCAUGUCUGUAAAGAGUGAAAAAGUGUCUAGUUACUAGGAAAACGUUUUAAGAUUUAUCAUAUAGACACA
Long non-coding RNA from Austrofundulus limnaeus, 1021 nucleotides. RefSeq lists it as uncharacterized. Lineage: Eukaryota; Metazoa; Chordata; Actinopteri; Cyprinodontiformes; Rivulidae. The transcript has 3 exons. The record is from RefSeq and is a predicted model, not a curated record.